UGGGGAAUAUUGCACAAUGGGCGCAAGCCUGAUGUAGCCAUGCCGCGUGUGUGAAGAAGGCCUUCGGGUUGUAAAGCACUUUCAGCGAGGAGGAAGGUGGUGAGCUUAAUACGCUCAUCAAUUGACGUUACUCGCAGAAGAAGCACCGGCUAACUCCGUGCCAGCAGCCGCGGUAAUACGGAGGGUGCAAGCGUUAAUCGGAAUUACUGGGCGUAAAGCGCACGCAGGCGGUUUGUUAAGUCAGAUGUGAAAUCCCCGGGCUCAACCUGGGAACUGCAUUUGAAACUGGCAAGCUAGAGUCUCGUAGAGGGGGGUAGAAUUCCAGGUGUAGCGGUGAAAUGCGUAGAGAUCUGGAGGAAUACCGGUGGCGAAGGCGGCCCCCUGGACGAAGACUGACGCUCAGGUGCGAAAGCGUGGGGCAGCAAACAGGAUUAGAUACCCUGGUAGUCCACGCUGUAAAACGAUGUCGAUUUUGGAGGUUGUGCCCUUGAGGCGUGGNUUCCGGAGCUAACGCGUUAAAUCGACCGCCUGGGGAGUACGGCCNCAAGGUUAAAACUCAAAUGAAUUG
This 568-nucleotide ribosomal RNA is filed under the name uncultured bacterium. RNAcentral's name for it is "partial 16S ribosomal RNA". It matches the Rfam family "Bacterial small subunit ribosomal RNA", at positions 355 to 912 of the family's 1533-position model. The record is from RNAcentral.